AGUGCCAUACUUUAAGUUAAAAGGUUAGAGUUGCAUACUAGAAAUGAGGGUAAUAUCCUCUGGUGCUG
RNAcentral lists this transfer RNA (68 nucleotides) under Solecurtus divaricatus (divaricate short razor). RNAcentral describes it as "tRNA-Ala". Lineage: Eukaryota; Metazoa; Mollusca; Bivalvia; Cardiida; Solecurtidae. The record is from RNAcentral.